GCGGGAGUAGCUCAAUUGGUAGAGCGUCAGCCUUCCAAGCUGAUUGUCGUGGGUUCGAUUCCCAUCUCCCGCU
RNAcentral lists this transfer RNA (73 nucleotides) under Pseudomonadota bacterium. Its description in RNAcentral is "tRNA-Gly". It matches the Rfam family "tRNA". From Rfam's summary of the family: Transfer RNA (tRNA) molecules are approximately 80 nucleotides in length. Their secondary structure includes four short double-helical elements and three loops (D, anti-codon, and T loops). Lineage: Bacteria; Pseudomonadati; Pseudomonadota. The record is from RNAcentral. RNAcentral also lists the same sequence under 1 other name.